This is a non-coding RNA of Paramuricea clavata, 435 nucleotides long. NCBI's taxonomy places the organism in Eukaryota, Metazoa, Cnidaria, Anthozoa, Malacalcyonacea, Plexauridae. The record is from the annotation of a GenBank genome assembly.
CUCACAUUAGUGCUUGGUAACCUUUGUAAAUAUAACUUAAUUACCUGUAAAUAGCUCAAAACAUUUGUUAUAUCUUUUAAAUUUAUAUAUUACUGUAAUAGCUUAGCUUAUCGUUAUCAUAUUCUGCAUGUAAAAUAAUUUUCUGGCACACGCCCCCUGUGGAAAUCAGCUACGGUUGACGGGGUCAGCGUGGAUAAAUAAAGUUCUACUACUACUACUACUACUACUACUACUACUACUACUACUACUACAUUGUUAUGAGCAGAACCGACAUGCAGAACGGACUUGACUUCCACUUUAAUAAUUAUAGUACUGCAGGUCAGGUUUUUUACAAGCGUACAAGGCAGGGGGGGGGAGAAAUUUGAAAGAUAAUAGUCAUAAAUGCAAGGAUAUCAGGUAAUUUUACCAAAAACUAAAUGACCUUCAACAUGCUCC